RNAcentral lists this ribosomal RNA (2062 nucleotides) under Nesterenkonia alkaliphila. RNAcentral describes it as "partial 23S ribosomal RNA". It matches the Rfam family "Bacterial large subunit ribosomal RNA", at positions 1 to 1897 of the family's 2925-position model. The record is from RNAcentral. Lineage: Bacteria; Bacillati; Actinomycetota; Actinomycetes; Micrococcales; Micrococcaceae.
CGUAAGUGUUUUAGGGCGCAUGGUGGAUGCCUUGGCAUUAGGAGCUGAUGAAGGACGUGGGAAUCUGCGAUAAGCCUGGUGGAGCUGAUAACCGAGUGUUGAGGCCAGGAUCUCCGAAUGGGGAAACCCGGCAUGCUGUUGUGGUGUGUCACCAGUCGCUGAAUGAAAUAGGCGGUUGGGGGGAACGUCGGGAAGUGAAACAUCUCAGUACCGACAGGAAGAGAAAACAAUAGUGAUUGCGUGAGUAGUGGCGAGCGAAAGCGUAUGGGGCUAAACCGGUGGCGUGUGAUACCUGGUAGGGGUUGCGUUGCCGGGGUUGUGAGACCCAAUAUCCCAGGACUACCAUUCUGGGCGGUUGAGGUGCGGGCGUAUAGACGAACAGUGUUGAGUCACUGACCGUAGGGGGUGUGAGUCCCGUAGUUGUAAUGCGUUCCGCCGGCUGUUUUGGUGUUCUCGAGUAGCACGCGGCUCGAGGAAUCGUGUGUGAAUCUGCCAGGACCAUCUGGUAAGCCUGAAUACUCCCUAAUGACCGAUAGUGAAUCAGUACCGUGAGGGAAUGGUGAAAAGUACCCCGGGAGGGGAGUGAAAUAGUACCUGAAACCAUGUGCCUACAAUCCGUCAAAGCAUCUUUUGGGGUGUGAUGGCGUGCCUUUUGAAGAAUGAGCCUGCGAGUUAGUGCUCAGUAGCGAGGUUAACCCGUGUGGGGCAGCCGUAGCGAAAGCGAGUCUGAAUAGGGCGUUUAGUUGCUGGGUCUAGACCCGAAGCGGAGUGAUCUACCCAUGGCCAGGGUGAAGCGUGUGUAAGAGCACGUGGAGGCCCGAACCCACCUAGGUUGAAAACUGGGGGGAUGAGCUGUGGGUAGGGGUGAAAGGCCAAUCAAACUCUGUGAUAGCUGGUUCUCCCCGAAAUGCAUUUAGGUGCAGCGUUGCGUGUUUCGUCCUGGAGGUAGAGCUACUGGAUGGCUGAUGGGCCCUACAAGGUUACUGACGUCAGCUAAACUCCGAAUGCCAGUGACGUGAGAGCGUAGCAGUGAGACGGUGGGGGAUAAGCUUCAUCGUCGAGAGGGAAACAGCCCAGACCACCGGUUAAGGCCCCUAAGCGUGUGCUAAGUGGGAAAGGAUGUGGAGUUGCUUAGACAACCAGGAGGUUGGCUUAGAAGCAGCCACCCUUGAAAGAGUGCGUAAUAGCUCACUGGUCAAGUGAUUCCGCGCCGACAAUGUAGCGGGGCUCAAGCACACCGCCGAAACCGUGGCAAUCAGGUUUUCCUGGUUGGGUAGGGGAGCGUCGUCUAUUGGGUGAAGCCAGGUUGUAAGAGCUGGUGGACGGUAGACGAGUGAGAAUGCAGGCAUGAGUAGCGAAAGUCAUGUGAGAAACAUGGCCGCCGAAUGAGCAAGGGUUCCAGGGUCAAGCUAAUCUGCCCUGGGUUAGUCGGGGCCUAAGGCGAGGCCGACAGGCGUAGUCGAUGGAUAACGGGUUGAUAUUCCCGUACCGGCGAACAACCGCCCCAAGCAAACCUGAGAUACUAACCACCCGAACCCAGCCUAAGUUCACUUCGGUGAACAGGGCUGGUCUAGCGUGGGACCUGAUCGGGGGCGUUUAGCGUAGUAACAGGUGUGACGCAGGAAGGUAGCCGGGCCCAGCGAUGGUUGUCUGGGUCUAAGAAUGUAGGCUGACUCCUAGGCAAAUCCGGGAGUCGUUGAGGCUGAGAUUUGAUGGGCUCCACCUUUUGGGUGGGGAUCCGGUGAUCCUAUGCUGCCAAGAAAAGCAUCGACGCGAGGUUGUUGUGCCGCCCGUACCCGAAACCGACACAGGUGCUCAGGUAGAGAAUACUAAGGCGAUCGAGAGAAUCACGGUUAAGGAACUCGGCAAAAUGCCCCCGUAACUUCGGGAGAAGGGGGGCCACCCUGGUGAUCAACCCUUGCGGUUGUGAGCUGGUGGUGGCCGCAGAGACCAGGGGGGUCCGACUGUUUACUAAAAACACAGGUCCGUGCGAAGUCGUAAGACGAGGUAUACGGACUGACUCCUGCCCGGUGCCGGAAGGUUAAGAGGAGCUGUUAGCCAC